This 1100-nucleotide small RNA is filed under the name Trichoderma sp. TUT32. RNAcentral's name for it is "eukaryotic LSU rRNA". The stretch from base 506 to 1100 matches the Rfam family "Eukaryotic large subunit ribosomal RNA", at positions 1 to 605 of the family's 3401-position model. Lineage: Eukaryota; Fungi; Ascomycota; Sordariomycetes; Hypocreales; Hypocreaceae. The record is from RNAcentral.
GUGAACGUUACCAAACUGUUGCCUCGGCGGGAUCUCUGCCCCGGGUGCGUCGCAGCCCCGGACCAAGGCGCCCGCCGGAGGACCAACCAAAACUCUUUUUGUAUACCCCCUCGCGGGUUUUUUAUAAUCUGAGCCUUCUCGGCGCCUCUCGUAGGCGUUUCGAAAAUGAAUCAAAACUUUCAACAACGGAUCUCUUGGUUCUGGCAUCGAUGAAGAACGCAGCGAAAUGCGAUAAGUAAUGUGAAUUGCAGAAUUCAGUGAAUCAUCGAAUCUUUGAACGCACAUUGCGCCCGCCAGUAUUCUGGCGGGCAUGCCUGUCCGAGCGUCAUUUCAACCCUCGAACCCCUCCGGGGGGUCGGCGUUGGGGAUCGGCCCUCCCUUAGCGGGUGGCCGUCUCCGAAAUACAGUGGCGGUCUCGCCGCAGCCUCUCCUGCGCAGUAGUUUGCACACUCGCAUCGGGAGCGCGGCGCGUCCACAGCCGUUAAACACCCAACUUCUGAAAUGUUGACCUCGGAUCAGGUAGGAAUACCCGCUGAACUUAAGCAUAUCAAUAAGCGGAGGAAAAGAAACCAACAGGGAUUGCCCCAGUAACGGCGAGUGAAGCGGCAACAGCUCAAAUUUGAAAUCUGGUCCCUAGGGCCCGAGUUGUAAUUUGUAGAGGAUGCUUUUGGUGAGGUGCCGCCCGAGUUCCCUGGAACGGGACGCCACAGAGGGUGAGAGCCCCGUCUGGCUGGCCGCCGAGCCUCUGUAAAGCUCCUUCGACGAGUCGAGUAGUUUGGGAAUGCUGCUCAAAAUGGGAGGUAUAUGUCUUCUAAAGCUAAAUAUUGGCCAGAGACCGAUAGCGCACAAGUAGAGUGAUCGAAAGAUGAAAAGCACCUUGAAAAGAGGGUUAAAUAGUACGUGAAAUUGUUGAAAGGGAAGCGCUUGUGACCAGACUUGGGCGCGGCGGAUCAUCCGGGGUUCUCUCCGGUGCACUUCGCCGCGUCUAGGCCAGCAUCAGUUCGUCCCGGGGGGAAAAAGCUUCCGGAACGUGGUCCUCCCGGGAGUGUUAAACCCGUUGCUAAUACCCUGCGGGGGAUGAGGACGCGACUGAGGAGUGC